RNAcentral lists this ribosomal RNA (496 nucleotides) under uncultured bacterium. RNAcentral describes it as "partial 16S ribosomal RNA". It matches the Rfam family "Bacterial small subunit ribosomal RNA", at positions 28 to 506 of the family's 1533-position model. The record is from RNAcentral.
GAUGAACGCUGGCGGCGUGCCUAAUACAUGCAAGUCGAGCGAACGGACGAGACGCUUGCUUCUCUGAUGUUAGCGGAGGACGGGUGAGUAACAUGUGGAUAACCUACCUAUAAGACUGGGAUCACUUCGGGAAACCGGCGAUAACACCGGAUAAUAUUUUGCACCGCAUGGUUCAAAAGUGAGAGACGGCCUUGCUGGCACUUCUAGCUGGAUACGCGCUGCUUUAGCUAGUUGGUACGGUAACGGCUUACCAAGGGAAUGAUGCAUAGCCGAGCGGAGGGGGGGAUCGGCGACACUGGAACUGAGCCACGGUCCAGAAUCCGACGGGAGGCAGCAGUAGGGAAGCUACCGCAAUGGGCGAAAGCCUGACGGAUCAACGCAGCGUGAGUGAUGAAGCUCCUCGGGUCGUAAAACGCUGUUAUUGGGGAAGAACACAUGUGUAAGUAACGGUGCAUAUCUGGAGGGAACCGAAACAGAAGGCCACGGCUAACUACGU